This 45-nucleotide non-coding RNA is filed under the name Schistosoma curassoni. Lineage: Eukaryota; Metazoa; Platyhelminthes; Trematoda; Strigeidida; Schistosomatidae. The record is from RNAcentral.
AUUCAGCUGACGAGUCCGACAUAGGACGAAACGCGCGUUCUGAAU